CCUACGGGAGGCAGCAGUGGGGAAUAUUGCACAAUGGGGGAAACCCUGAUGCAGCAACGCCGCGUGAGUGAAGAAGUAUUUCGGUAUGUAAAGCUCUAUCAGCAGGGAAGAAGAUGACGGUACCUGACUAAGAAGCCCCGGCUAACUACGUGCCAGCAGCCGCGGUAAUACGUAGGGGGCAAGCGUUAUCCGGAUUUACUGGGUGUAAAGGGAGCGCAGACGGCAGUGCAAGUCUGGAGUGAAAGCCCGGGGCCCAACCCCGGAACUGCUCUGGAAACUGGGCGGCUAGAGUACGGGAGGGGCAGGCGGAAUUCCUAGUGUAGCGGUGAAAUGCGUAGAUAUUAGGAGGAACACCAGUGGCGAAGGCGGCCUGCUGGACAGUAACUGACGUUGAGGCUCGAAAGCGUGGGGAGCAAACAGGAUUAGAUACCCGAGUAGUC
This 440-nucleotide ribosomal RNA is filed under the name uncultured bacterium. Its description in RNAcentral is "partial 16S ribosomal RNA". It matches the Rfam family "Bacterial small subunit ribosomal RNA", at positions 338 to 795 of the family's 1533-position model. The record is from RNAcentral.